UGGGGAAUAUUGCACAAUGGGCGCAAGCCUGAUGCAGCCAUGCCGCGUGUAUGAAGAAGGCCUUCGGGUUGUAAAGUACUUUCAGUCGGGAGGAAGGUGGUAAGGUUAAUAACCUUGGCAAUUGACGUUACCGACAGAAGAAGCACCGGCUAACUCCGUGCCAGCAGCCGCGGUAAUACGGAGGGUGCAAGCGUUAAUCGGAAUUACUGGGCGUAAAGCGCACGCAGGCGGUUUGUUAAGUCGGAUGUGAAAUCCCCGGGCUCAACCUGGGAACUGCAUCUGAUACUGGCAAGCUUGAGUCUCGUAGAGGGGGGUAGAAUUCCAGGUGUAGCGGUGAAAUGCGUAGAGAUCUGGAGGAAUACCGGUGGCGAAGGCGGCCCCCUGGACGAAGACUGACGCUCAGGUGCGAAAGCGUGGGGAGCAAACAGG
This 429-nucleotide ribosomal RNA is filed under the name Chloroflexota bacterium. RNAcentral describes it as "Chloroflexi bacterium partial 16S ribosomal RNA". It matches the Rfam family "Bacterial small subunit ribosomal RNA", at positions 355 to 776 of the family's 1533-position model. Lineage: Bacteria; Bacillati; Chloroflexota. The record is from RNAcentral.